This 1510-nucleotide long non-coding RNA is filed under the name Ovis aries (sheep). Its description in RNAcentral is "lncRNA (ENSOARG00000025280.1)". The record is from RNAcentral. Lineage: Eukaryota; Metazoa; Chordata; Mammalia; Artiodactyla; Bovidae.
GCUGUGAGCAGCUGUGCCCUCAGCCUCGUCUUCCUGCAGGGCUGACAAUGGUGCACUGGAGUCACAGUAAGUGUGGGCCCCGAGCCCACUCCGCCUGUGGGGCCACAGACAGCCCCCAACAGCUUCUGAAGUGGAAAUGCCUCGUCCCCCCACCCACCUCCCCCAGAGCCCUGCGCCCGAGCUGCGGCCGGCAGGCCCAAGCCACCCACCCAGGACAGUGAGCCUCGCGGAGGCGACAGCAUCGUGAGCAGCAAAGGUGACCUCGCCAGCGUGGUGCGGCUGAGCCCGGUGCAGCAGCAGGGCGUGGNNNNNNNNNNNNNNNNNNNNNNNNNNNNNNNNNNNNNNNNNNNNCCCAGCCCUCUCCGCCCCGGGGCCCCGUCCCGCUAGGGGUGCAGCUGAAGCUGGCCUGCCCCCCGGCGCGCACGGUCACAUCCUGGGGUGCCUCCAAGACCUCUAGACGCCAGCCUGUGGGGCAGGGUAGGGUGGCAGUGUGAGCACAGGGCUGGGGGGACCUGGGGGCACUCAGAGACACCUAUGUCACCCCUGGCCCACAGCCCCAGAGCAGAGGAGGGCGCCUAGCCUCCCGCUCCUCCCACCUCUGGGAGCCGCAGCUGCACGUGUACUCCCCCGUGUCCUCCCGGCGCAAGCCCCUCAGCACCAGCUCUGCCACGUGGCCCUGCUGCCGCGGCUCCCGGCGCCCAUCGGCCUGCACCUCCAGGCCCCCCUUACUCCAGACGACGGUGGCCCCAGGCUCGGAGAGCUCACACUGCAGGAUGGCCGAGGUACCCUCCUCAGCCUGCAGGCUCUGCAGCGGCUUCCGGAACACCACCUGUGGGGCUGUGGAGUGGGGAUGGGGUGGAGGGGAGAGGGAAGGUCAGCCCCAAGCCUGAGGCCCAGUCACCCAGAGAGGAGACUGGCACCCCAAAUCCAGUCAGACCCACUGAGGGCCUUGGCCAGGCCUGCCUCACCCGCCCACAGGGCCCACUGCCUCAGGCUCCUCUGGACGAUCGGGGUGGGAGUGGGGUCACGGGCCAGGGUCUACUCUAAGGGAGAGGAGGGGCUGCAGUGGGGGCCGUGAAAGGGACCCAGGGGGUUCUCAUGCCGACCUCCACCCAGGAAGCCCACAGGCAGGUCUGUGUCCCUCCAGCCAUUGAGGUGGGAAAGGGGGGACCUGCUAAGCCCCCAGGGCAGGGCCACGCCCCCCAGAUACUGACUAGAGGCUGUGGAGCAUGGGGGAACGUGGACUGCAUUAGGACAGGCAGGGGGCGGGCACGAGGUGGGAAUUCCAUCACACAUGAGGGUGAGCCGGGGAGGCCAUCCGACUGGAGAGCACAACCCAGGCAGGGGACACUGAACAGAGAGUUUGGCAGGUGAGCAGGUGGGCGACAGACAGAAGCUGCACACGACACAGAGGAGACGGCUGCCCACGCGAGGCUGGCAUGGGCACAGGAGUCGGGCACACACACAGGCUCCCAGACGAGCCCGCAAGCCCAUCCUCACCCGUGACUGC